This 254-nucleotide ribosomal RNA is filed under the name uncultured bacterium. Its description in RNAcentral is "partial 16S ribosomal RNA". It matches the Rfam family "Bacterial small subunit ribosomal RNA", at positions 524 to 776 of the family's 1533-position model. The record is from RNAcentral.
UACGUAGGGUGCGAGCGUUUGUCCGGAAUUAUUGGGCGUAAAGGGCUCGUAGGCGGUCUGUCGCGUCGGGAGUGAAAACUCAGGGCUUAACCCUGAGCCUGCUUCCGAUACGGGCAGACUAGAGGUAUGCAGGGGAGAACGGAAUUCCUGGUGUAGCGGUGAAAUGCGCAGAUAUCAGGAGGAACACCGGUGGCGAAGGCGGUUCUCUGGGCAUUACCUGACGCUGAGGAGCGAAAGUGUGGGGAGCGAACAGG